CUGGCGGCGUGCUAAUACUGCAAGUCGAGCGAAUUGAUGGGAGCUUGCUCCCUGAUAUUAGCGGCGGACGGGUGAGUAACACGUGGGUAACCUGCCUGUAAGAUUGGGAUAACUCCGGGAAACCGGAGCUAAUACCGGAUAACAUGUUGAACCGCAUGGUUCAACAUUGAAAGAUGGCUUUUGCUAUCACUUACAGAUGGACCCGCGGCGCAUUAGCUAGUUGGUGAGGUAACGGCUCACCAAGGCAACGAUGCGUAGCCGACCUGAGAGGGUGAUCGGCCACACUGGGACUGAGACACGGCCCAGACUCCUACGGGAGGCAGCAGUAGGGAAUCUUCCGCAAUGGACGAAAGUCUGACGGAGCAACGCCGCGUGAACGAUGAAGGCCUUCGGGUCGUAAAGUUCUGUUGUUAGGGAAGAACAAGUACCAGAGUAACUGCUGGUACCUUGACGGUACCUAACCAGAAAGCCACGGCUAACUACGUGCCAGCAGCCGCGGUAAUACGUAGGUGGCAAGCGUUGUCCGGAAUUAUUGGGCGUAAAGCGCGCGCAGGUGGUUUCUUAAGUCUGAUGUGAAAGCCCACGGCUCAACCGUGGAGGGUCAUUGGAAACUGGGGAACUUGAGUGCAGAAGAGGAAAGU
RNAcentral lists this ribosomal RNA (641 nucleotides) under Bacillus sp. (in: firmicutes). RNAcentral describes it as "bacterial SSU rRNA". It matches the Rfam family "Bacterial small subunit ribosomal RNA", at positions 36 to 662 of the family's 1533-position model. Lineage: Bacteria; Bacillati; Bacillota; Bacilli; Caryophanales; Bacillaceae. The record is from RNAcentral.